AUGAGUUGUCCUCAUAUUCAUGAACAAAAUGGCUCAGCUAUAAGAAAAGUGAGGAAAAUGGAACAGGCUACAAGACAUGCUGAAAUGGAAGCUAUAGACGUGCUUCUAGAACAGUGGCAGAAAAAUGGACUUUCAAUGACUGAUGUUGCUAAAAAAUUCUCAAACCGCAGUCUUUAUGUUACCUGUGAAAUAUGCAUAAUGUGCGCAUCUGCUUGA
This is a non-coding RNA of Vicia faba (fava bean), 216 nucleotides long. Lineage: Eukaryota; Viridiplantae; Streptophyta; Magnoliopsida; Fabales; Fabaceae. The record is from the annotation of a GenBank genome assembly.